UUGAUAGUAAGAACACUCAUAUCAAUGUAGCUUCCUCAAAAGGCCAGUAUACCAUUGUCUUCAUCAGUCAAAAUCUUUACCACCCAGCAUCUGUUGUACUCCAACCAUCAAGUGCAAUCAUGUGUUUUGUGGACCUGGGUUACCAUGAUGAUACAAGGCAUGGCCCCAGUAUUGAAUGUGCCUCUAUGGAUGGCAGCAGAAGAAAGGUGCUAUGGCAGAAAUCCCAGGUCCCAGUAGCCCUGGCCUUUUCAGAUUCAGGGAUCUGCAUAUACUGGGCUGAUACUGCAAGAGGACUCAUAGUGAGCAUUUGCCAAGAUGGUUCUAGGUACAGAAUAGAUAGCAGAGGAAUUCAGAACCUGAGCCUAUUUACAGAUGACUGAGGCAAGAUGUUGUGGACCACAACUGGUGAUGCCCAAGUCACAAAAGUUUGGUAUGGCAAGAAGAAACUUAUGGAAGACCAAUGGUUCCAAGUAGACCAGAAAAUCAUGGAUUUAAAAGUUUAGAGUAAACUUAAUCAACAGGGUA
Molecule: long non-coding RNA, 525 nt
Organism: Sorex fumeus (smoky shrew)
Lineage: Eukaryota; Metazoa; Chordata; Mammalia; Eulipotyphla; Soricidae
Exons: 3
Source: RefSeq, a predicted model, not a curated record